RNAcentral lists this ribosomal RNA (429 nucleotides) under Actinomycetes bacterium. RNAcentral describes it as "Actinobacteria bacterium partial 16S ribosomal RNA". It matches the Rfam family "Bacterial small subunit ribosomal RNA", at positions 355 to 776 of the family's 1533-position model. The record is from RNAcentral. Lineage: Bacteria; Bacillati; Actinomycetota; Actinomycetes.
UAGGGAAUCUUCCGCAAUGGGCGAAAGCCUGACGGAGCAACGCCGCGUGAGUGAUGAAGGUCUUCGGAUCGUAAAACUCUGUUAUUAGGGAAGAACAAAUGUGUAAGUAACUAUGCACGUCUUGACGGUACCUAAUCAGAAAGCCACGGCUAACUACGUGCGAGCAGCCGCGGUAAUACGUAGGUGGCAAGCGUUAUCCGGAAUUAUUGGGCGUAAAGCGCGCGUAGGCGGUUUUUUAAGUCUGAUGUGAAAGCCCACGGCUCAACCGUGGAGGGUCAUUGGAAACUGGCAAACUUGAGUGCAGAAGAGGAAAGUGGAAUUCCAUGUGUAGCGGUGAAAUGCGCAGAGAUAUGGAGGAACACCAGUGGCGAAGGCGACUUUCUGGUCUGUAACUGACGCUGAUGUGCGAAAGCGUGGGGAUCAAACAGG